GUCCACGCCGUAAACGAUGGAUACUAGAUGUCGGGAGUUCUUACCCUCUCGGUGUCGUCGCUAACGCAUUAAGUAUCCCGCCUGGGAAGUACGGUCGCAAGAUUAAAACUCAAAGAAAUUGACGGGGGCCCGCACAAGCGGUGGAGUAUGUGGUUUAAUUCGAUGCAACGCGAAAAACCUUACCUGGGCUUGACAUCCGGUGCUAUCCGGUGAAAGCCGGAGUUCCCUUCGGGGACGCCGAGACAGGUGCUGCAUGGCUGUCGU
This 264-nucleotide ribosomal RNA is filed under the name uncultured bacterium. RNAcentral's name for it is "partial 16S ribosomal RNA". It matches the Rfam family "Bacterial small subunit ribosomal RNA", at positions 793 to 1055 of the family's 1533-position model. The record is from RNAcentral.